AUGUUCAGACUAGCCAUGCACGUCUAGUACAAACUAAAUGAUGGUGAAACUGCAAAUGGCUCAUUACAACGGUUAUGAUGUACCCGGGAGUUCCGAUGGAUAUUUCCAGUAACACUAGAACUAAUACAUGUCCCUGCGUUUAUUAGUUUCGCACAGUCCGUCGCUGAGUCAUGGUAAACAGUUGAUCGACUCGACGUCCCGGAACAGUUUCCGCCCCAUCAGCUUCGAUGGUUGGGUAUUGGCCUACCAUUGCAACAACGGGUAACGAGGAAUUAGGGUUUGAUUUCGGAGAGGGAGCCUGAGAAACGGCUACCACAUCUACGGAUGGCAGCAGGCGCGCAAAUUACCCAAUGCAGACACUGUGAGGUAGUGACGAGAAAUAAUAAAGCGGGACUUCUGUUUCGCUAUUAUAAUGAGGAAUAACCAAAGGUCAUUCCGAUUAGCAACUGAUGGGAAAGUCUGGUGCCAGCAGCCGCGGUAAUACCAGCGUCAGUAGCAUA
RNAcentral lists this ribosomal RNA (500 nucleotides) under uncultured Myrionecta. RNAcentral describes it as "SSU rRNA". It matches the Rfam family "Eukaryotic small subunit ribosomal RNA", at positions 34 to 601 of the family's 1831-position model. Lineage: Eukaryota; Ciliophora; Litostomatea; Cyclotrichida; Mesodiniidae. The record is from RNAcentral.